Molecule: long non-coding RNA, 2003 nt
Filed under: Sus scrofa (pig)
Lineage: Eukaryota; Metazoa; Chordata; Mammalia; Artiodactyla; Suidae
Description: lncRNA (ENSSSCG00015032996.1)
Source: RNAcentral
GUUACUGGGUGUGGAAGGAGUUUGGAAUUGUGCUGCAGAAACAGCUUCUAGAACCACCUGGGACGUCUUAACAGAGCCUGGGAAGAUGGGCCUUAUUCUUGACAUUAUAUUCCUUUUACGUUUAUUGUAAAAUAGGGGCUCUCUUCCCUGUGCUGUGCAGUGUCUCCUUGCAGCUUAUAUAUUUUCUACAUAGCAGUUUGUACCUCUCCCUUCCACCAUGUCCCCCACCCCCACAAAUUGGUCACCCCUAGUUUUCUGUAUCUGUGAGUCUAGUGCUUUUGGAUCAUAUUCACUUGUCUGCUGUGUUUUUUAAUUUCUACAUUUGAGUCCUGUGACACAGUAUUUGUCUUUCUCUGGCUGACUCCUGUCACUUAACAUAAUGCCCUCCAAGUCCAUCUGUGUAGCUGCAAAUGGCACGAUUUCAUUCUUUGUCAUGGCCGAGUGGUCUCCCAUUGUGCAUAUGCACCACAUCUUCUUAUCCAUUCCCCUGUCGUUGGACAUGUAGGUUGUUUCCAGGUCUUGGCUCUUGGGAAUACUUCUGCCAUGAACAUGGGGGUGCAUGGUUCUUUUUGAGUUGGUUUUCAUAUUUUCUGGGUGUGUGAACAGGAGUGGGGUCAUGGGAUCAUAUGGUCAGUUUCUUCUUCCAUGAUUGAAUAAACGGUAGAGCUUUCAAAACUAUAACUCGUGUCUAUUUUCCAUUUCCUAAUUUUUUGGGGGGUGGGGCUCCAGGAAAUGUGGCCUCCUCUGUACAUUCUCCAUCAUAUUUCCCUUCCUGGACUUCCUCCAUCCAUCCAACCUGAUGUUGCCAUUUCUGUCACCUUCUCUAGUUUCUACUGGAAGGACCCAGAGUCUCAGAUGUUGCACAUUUCACACAGUAGCAUAUUUGUGUGGCUCUGUGUUUCUGUAUCUGAUGCCUAAGGGUAAGGAUUAGACUCUGAAGAACUGAGAUGGUGUAACUGACCUGGGCUUGACUUGGUGUCUGCUUCCUGAGGGCCUGUGCCUCUGGCCUCUACUCCCACGGGGAAAAGCACAGGCCUGUCUGUGUCCCCCAUGUCUUGUUCUUAGGGAAUAAGCUUCAGCCACCAGGCCCUUCCCGGAGCCCCAAAGGGCAGGUGCCCAUAGGUGCUGAUCAUGGAGGGGCCAGCAGGGGACAUCAGGGCCUCCUGGGGGCAGGUCUUGGUUCCCCCUCAAGGGAUACACACAGCAAUGUCUUUGAGCUCUUCUGCAGAACUAAACCCCCAGCAAAUGAGAGCCAGAGAUGAGGACCCCCAGCACCAGUUCUGGGGCCCUUAAACCCCAGCUCUGAAGAAGAAUGCAAGCUUGCAUCUGCUCUGGUCCUUCUCUGUGGCCGUAUUUAAUAUUCCCCAAACUAUAUAAAACCACCCCCUCCUCAUCUCUCCCAAAGGGGAACCCAGUCUUUAGGGCAGCAGCCUGCUGUGACCCCAUUUGCCUGGCAAAUCAAGUUAUUUUUUUCCCUCCUUCACCCAAAAAUCCAUCUACAGGGUAGACGGAGGCUGAAUUUUGGCAGCAACCUCAGAGAACAAUCUAGAUGGACAUGAGCCUCGCCUUGGGGUUUCUUUCUUCCAAAACCUCCCCCCUUCUGCUGCUUGUGGCCACAGCUCAGGGCCUCCCAUUGGCCUGUCUGUCCUUUAUCCAGAGUUCAUCUCAUGAGAUUUCUUCUCUCACCAGCAGGUGCACCAUCUCUGGGGUUCUGACGUGGACACACUUUUUUCUCCAUACUUUGUGAUGUGUGUUUAUGGUCGUUGCCCCAAAGACAGAGACGAGCAUAUAAUAACAAGCCAGCAAUGUCUUUCAUUUCUGCUGUUCAUGGCUAAUUGGAUGGAAAGGUAGAAGCUGUUGAUUUUCCAGGAAGAAUACAUCCAGAAGGGAGUUCCCUGGGGUGGGGGUGUCUACGGGUUCAGACCCGACACUUUUGACCACGGAGGCCCAUGUUCCUUCCCUGGUCUGGGAACUAAGACCCCACAUCAAGCCUCUGCCCACCU